This 700-nucleotide ribosomal RNA is filed under the name uncultured bacterium. Its description in RNAcentral is "bacterial SSU rRNA". It matches the Rfam family "Bacterial small subunit ribosomal RNA", at positions 134 to 851 of the family's 1533-position model. The record is from RNAcentral.
UACAGGGGGAUAACACUUAGAAAUAGGUGCUAAUACCGCAUAAGCGCACGGUUCCGCAUGGAACAGUGUGAAAAACUCCGGUGGUAUACGAUGGAUCCGCGUCUGAUUAGCCAGUUGGCGGGGUAACGGCCCACCAAAGCGACGAUCAGUAACCGGCCUGAGAGGGUGAACGGCCACAUUGGGACUGAGACACGGCCCAAACUCCUACGGGAGGCAGCAGUGGGGAAUAUUGCACAAUGGGGGAAACCCUGAUGCAGCGACGCCGCGUGAGUGAAGAAGUAUCUCGGUACGCAAAGCUCUAUCAGCAGGGAAGAAAAUGACGGUACCUGAUUAAGAAGCCCCGGCUAACUACGUGCCAGCAGCCGCGGUAAUACGUAGGGGGCAAGCGUUAUCCGGAUUUACUGGGUGCAAAGGGAGCGUAGACGGCAGCGCAAGUCUGGAGUGAAAUGCCGGGGCCCAACCCCGGAACUGCUUUGGGAACUGUGCAGCUCGAGUGCAGGAGAGGUAAGCGGAAUUCCUAGUGUAGCGGUGAAAUGCGUAGAUAUUAGGAGGAACACCAGUGGCGAAGGCGGCUUACUGGACUGUAACUGACGUUGAGGCUCGAAAGCGUGGGGAGCAAACAGGAUUAGAUACCCUGGUAGUCCACGCCGUAAACGAUGAUUACUAGGUGUCGGGGGGCCAAGGCCCUCCGGUGCCGGCG